RNAcentral lists this ribosomal RNA (1343 nucleotides) under Brevibacterium sp. K01-11. Its description in RNAcentral is "16S ribosomal RNA". It matches the Rfam family "Bacterial small subunit ribosomal RNA", at positions 48 to 1399 of the family's 1533-position model. Lineage: Bacteria; Bacillati; Actinomycetota; Actinomycetes; Micrococcales; Brevibacteriaceae. RNAcentral also lists the same sequence under 1 other name. The record is from RNAcentral.
CUUACACAUGCAGUCGAACGCUGAAGCCUGGUGCUUGCACCGGGUGGAUGAGUGGCGAACGGGUGAGUAACACGUGAGUAACCUGCCCCUGACUUCGGGAUAAGCCCGGGAAACUGGGUCUAAUACCGGAUACGACUGCCGGACGCAUGUCUGGUGGUGGAAAGUUUUUUCGGUUGGGGAUGGGCUCGCGGCCUAUCAGUUUGUUGGUGAGGUAAUGGCUCACCAAGACGACGACGGGUAGCCGGCCUGAGAGGGCGACCGGCCACACUGGGACUGAGACACGGCCCAGACUCCUACGGGAGGCAGCAGUGGGGAAUAUUGCACAAUGGGGGAAACCCUGAUGCAGCGACGCAGCGUGCGGGAUGACGGCCUUCGGGUUGUAAACCGCUUUCAGCAGGGAAGAAGCGCAAGUGACGGUACCUGCAGAAGAAGUACCGGCUAACUACGUGCCAGCAGCCGCGGUAAUACGUAGGGUACGAGCGUUGUCCGGAAUUAUUGGGCGUAAAGAGCUCGUAGGUGGUUGGUCACGUCUGCUGUGGAAACGCAACGCUUAACGUUGCGCGUGCAGUGGGUACGGGCUGACUAGAGUGCAGUAGGGGAGUCUGGAAUUCCUGGUGUAGCGGUGAAAUGCGCAGAUAUCAGGAGGAACACCGGUGGCGAAGGCGGGACUCUGGGCUGUAACUGACACUGAGGAGCGAAAGCAUGGGGAGCGAACAGGAUUAGAUACCCUGGUAGUCCAUGCCGUAAACGUUGGGCACUAGGUGUGGGGGGCAUUCCACGUUCUCCGCGCCGUAGCUAACGCAUUAAGUGCCCCGCCUGGGGAGUACGGUCGCAAGGCUAAAACUCAAAGGAAUUGACGGGGGCCCGCACAAGCGGCGGAGCAUGCGGAUUAAUUCGAUGCAACGCGAAGAACCUUACCAAGGCUUGACAUACACCGGACCGUCCUGGAAACAGGUCUUCUUCUUUGAAGCUGGUGUACAGGUGGUGCAUGGUUGUCGUCAGCUCGUGUCGUGAGAUGUUGGGUUAAGUCCCGCAACGAGCGCAACCCUCGUUCUAUGUUGCCAGCACGUGAUGGUGGGAACUCAUAGGAGACUGCCGGGGUCAACUCGGAGGAAGGUGGGGAUGACGUCAAAUCAUCAUGCCCUUUAUGUCUUGGGCUUCACGCAUGCUACAAUGGCUGGUACAGAGAGAGGCGAACCCGUGAGGGCAAGCGAAUCCCUUAAAGCCAGUCUCAGUUCGGAUCGUAGUCUGCAAUUCGACUACGUGAAGUCGGAGUCGCUAGUAAUCGCAGAUCAGCAACGCUGCGUGAAUACGUUCCGGGCCUUGUACACACCGGCCCGUCA